Hemicordylus capensis (graceful crag lizard) is the source of this 455-nucleotide long non-coding RNA. RefSeq lists it as uncharacterized. The transcript has 3 exons. Lineage: Eukaryota; Metazoa; Chordata; Lepidosauria; Squamata; Cordylidae. The record is from RefSeq and is a predicted model, not a curated record.
AAAAAAGUAAAAGCAAAAUAAGGAAGAACAAAAACAGAGACAACAACAACAACAAAAACAAAAACAAAAAAAGAGAGGGGACAAGGGGAAAAAAGAGACAGAAAGAGAGAGAGAGAGACAGAAAAGACGGGACAGAAAGCUAGCGCCCGUUAUCAUAACGGGCUUAAAAAUACUAUUGGGCAUUGGGCUGAGGAAGGAUGUGUCCAGCCAGGAAUUCAUCAGGUGCAGCUUCUGCAACCACUUGCUAGAGAUGCCCCUGACAAAUUUCUGCCAGAUGAAUCUCUUCCCAAAAUGCUCUCCCAAAAUACCACCUAUCACAACGGUGAGCCCUUGAGAACAGGGAACCCUUUUCCUAUGCAAACCGGUUUGAGAACGUCUUGUUGGGAAGUGGUAUACAAACAACAGUAAUAGUUUUUAAAGCUAACUUUCCUAUUAAACUGGGCUUUUAUUCUUUA